This is a long non-coding RNA of Ornithodoros turicata, 328 nucleotides long. RefSeq lists it as uncharacterized. The transcript is spliced from 3 exons. Lineage: Eukaryota; Metazoa; Arthropoda; Arachnida; Ixodida; Argasidae. The record is from RefSeq and is a predicted model, not a curated record.
CAGAUUUCACUCCUUUUUGCAGAGCUCAAGUCGUCUAGACCGAGUAGUCUACGUACCAGGAUAAAGAGAGGCACCUUGAUUGUGUUUCACAUGCUGCUAGCAUGCAUCUUUAUUCACGCCUCUGCUGGGAAGGCUGUUCAUGGAAAACACACAGAUAUCGAGGAACGCAGUGACUGUGCAGAAAAAGAGAAAUAGUACUUUCGUAAGAACAUCAUCGAAAACCACGGUGGAAAAAUUGUCAGAGUCGCGUACUAUUCGGAAUGUUAUUACGUCUGCACGAAGCCAACAAGAAAACAACACAACCUUAAGGACGGAACCGUAUGUGUGG